AAUAACCAAAUAUAACACUUGGGCUAAGAGUCAAGUUGGUAAUUUUUCUUACAUCUCCCCCUCCCGGAGCCCAGGUAUCAUAUACGCCCCCAAAAUAAAGAGCCUUGAAUACUAGAAGAAAAGCGCCUAUACCUAGCAAAAUUAAGUGAAUACCCAAAAUUGUGGUCAUUUUUAUUUCUAUCUUUCCA
Molecule: non-coding RNA, 188 nt
Organism: Corchorus capsularis
Lineage: Eukaryota; Viridiplantae; Streptophyta; Magnoliopsida; Malvales; Malvaceae
Rfam family: Antisense RNA which regulates isiA expression
Source: Rfam